RNAcentral lists this transfer RNA (96 nucleotides) under Corallococcus exiguus. RNAcentral describes it as "tRNA-Arg". The stretch from base 31 to 92 matches the Rfam family "tRNA". Rfam says of the family: Transfer RNA (tRNA) molecules are approximately 80 nucleotides in length. Their secondary structure includes four short double-helical elements and three loops (D, anti-codon, and T loops). The record is from RNAcentral. Lineage: Bacteria; Pseudomonadati; Myxococcota; Myxococcia; Myxococcales; Myxococcaceae.
GCGCGCGUUUUAUUGAGCCGGGACCGGAAGUCGUUGCGAAACCGGCGUUGGCCUCCGGAGCCAAAGGCCGCAGGUUCGAAUCCUGCAACGAGCGCG